RNAcentral lists this ribosomal RNA (465 nucleotides) under Vreelandella stevensii. RNAcentral describes it as "partial 16S ribosomal RNA". It matches the Rfam family "Bacterial small subunit ribosomal RNA", at positions 338 to 795 of the family's 1533-position model. The record is from RNAcentral. Lineage: Bacteria; Pseudomonadati; Pseudomonadota; Gammaproteobacteria; Oceanospirillales; Halomonadaceae.
CCUACGUGCGGCAGCAGUGGGGAAUAUUGGACAAUGGGCGAAAGCCUGAUCCAGCCAUGCCGCGUGUGUGAAGAAGGCCUUCGGGUUGUAAAGCACUUUCAGUGGGGAAGAAAGCCUUGGGGCUAAUACCCUCGAGGAAGGACAUCACCCACAGAAGAAGCACCGGCUAACUCCGUGCCAGCAGCCGCGGUAAUACGGAGGGUGCGAGCGUUAAUCGGAAUUACUGGGCGUAAAGCGCGCGUAGGCGGUCUGAUAAGCCGGUUGUGAAAGCCCCGGGCUCAACCUGGGAACGGCAUCCGGAACUGUCAGGCUAGAGUGCAGGAGAGGAAGGUAGAAUUCCCGGUGUAGCGGUGAAAUGCGUAGAGAUCAGGAGGAAUACCAGUGGCGAAGGCGGCCUUCUGGACUGACACUGACGCUGAGGUGCGAAAGCGUGGGUAGCAAACAGGAUUAGAUACCCCUGUAGUC